UAGAGGGGCAAAAUUAAACUAAUAGGAAAGCGUAGUUUCCGUGCCUUGGAGUGAGAUAUCCGGUUCUCUUGUUGAUCACAUCUGUAAUAGCCCUACUUUUAAAAACGUUUAUUUAAAAGUUAAUUAUAAUUAUUAAGUUAAUUAUGUUCCGAAAAUCUUAUUUUAUUUGAGUUAUAGAGUAUAAAUUUUAUUGUCGUAUUGUAAAAAUAAUUAUUUACUUAAUUUUACGAAAUUAUUAUUAGCAAUUCAUAUAUUGAGUUUUAUGCGAACUAGCUUAAUUCUAUUUUGCCCAAAAUAGAAACCCAAAUCCCGACCCACCAUUUGUCGGUUUAAUGUUUAACAAAAACCACAUUUUAGCCUUCUCCCUCAUUCUCGAGUCUUCUAAACCCCAACCCCCAAAAUUGAAAAACCCCGUAAAACCCCAAAACCCGAAACCCCAGUUACCCCUCUCUCUCUCUCCCGCGCAGCUCUUCUCUCAGUUCGCCGGAAUACCCCAUGUUGCUCGUCGGAGAUUGCUUUCCGUUCACCGGCGUUGUCGUUCGAGUCUUUCUCUCUCCUCCCUCGAAGCUCUCUUUUUUUCCUUUCGCGCGUUUGUUGUUCGCGAUUGUGCUGCCGCUCUCCACGCCGUUGUUGGGUGGUGCUCCGCCACCACCGCACGUCGUCAUUCUGCUGCAGGUUGUGGUCGUGGUGCCGUCACCGGUCGGAUCUUCCCUCCCCUGCUCGUGUUGCUGUUGUUGGUUGAUUGUUGCUGCCGUUGUGUUACUGUCGUCCUUCGUCGCGAGCCGCUGCUUGGGUUCUUGUCUUCGUGCCGCCACUGCUGCCUCGUGGUGCUGCCAGCCGUGGUGGUGGCGUGUUCUUGUGGUUUGACAGAGUAUAUUAAAUGUUUCAGGUUGAAGCCGUGAGUUAUUCUUUUGCAAGUUGAAGCUGAUACGAGAUGAUGCAGUAUUAUAUUUGUUAUUGAAGUGAGGACGCUCCAUUUGUAAUAGUUAAUCGUUUAAUUUCUAUAAUAUAUUUUCUCUAUUUAAGAAUCGCUAGCUAAGUGCUCCUGAUUCUCUGUUGGUUGUUGCUCCGCGAAAGCGUUGAGAUUGUUGAGCUUUGGGAUUUGGAAAUAUUUUAUAAAUUGAAAUUGCAACAGAUUCAUAUUA
Molecule: long non-coding RNA, 1145 nt
Organism: Beta vulgaris subsp. vulgaris (sugar beet)
Lineage: Eukaryota; Viridiplantae; Streptophyta; Magnoliopsida; Caryophyllales; Amaranthaceae
Exons: 2
Source: RefSeq, a predicted model, not a curated record